RNAcentral lists this long non-coding RNA (1193 nucleotides) under Homo sapiens (human). RNAcentral's name for it is "non-protein coding lnc-PPA2-10:1". Lineage: Eukaryota; Metazoa; Chordata; Mammalia; Primates; Hominidae. The record is from RNAcentral.
AGUGCUUUAAACAAUCAUUUUAUUUGCUUAUAAUUCUGUGAAUCAGGAAUUUAGGCAAAGUGUAGUUGGGUAGUCCUGCUUCUCUUGGCACUGGUUGGUGUCAUUCGCUCAGUUGUGCUUAUCUGGUGGUGGAGCUCUGACAGCAAAAGGGUAAGUUCUGUUGAGCCUUGAACCUCUCUCAACAUGUCUCUAGGAAGUGCAGUUUUGUAGCUAUCAGUUGGUGGUUAUUUUUUUUUUAUUGAUCAUUCUUGGGUGUUUCUCGCAGAGGGGGAUUUGGCAGGGUCAUAGGACAAUAGUGGAGGGAAGGUCAGCAGAUAAACAAGUGAACAAAGGUCUCUGGUUUUCCUAGGCAGAGGACCCUGCGGCCUUCCGCAGCGUUUGUGUCCCUGGGUACUUGAGAUUAGGGAGUGGUGAUGACUCUUAACGAGCAUGCUGCCUUCAAGCAUCUGUUUAACAAAGCACAUCUUUUUGAAGACAUGCACGGGUUGAGGACUCAUCAAUCUUCUCGGUCCUAGGCAGGGUCAGUAAAUUUAGUAUCCAGGGAGAGGCAUUAUUCCAGGUCAUGAGCAGAGCAGAGGAAACAAUGGGGAACUUGUGGUCAGGCUGGUAAAGUGAUACCUUAAAUUCCAGGAAUACUUGAUUUGGGAAUGGAAACAGGAUAGGCCCAGCAGCAAAACAAGAGCAGCACAAAAUCCUCCUUAGAAUGAUCAGUAAAUUUCACUGGCAAAGUUAAACAAAAUCAACUAUAAAGGAAACCAAAUGAAAAAAAUUAAACAAUAUUUUAAAGUUCUACAGAUGAUCCUAACGUCCUGCCAUGGUUGAGAAAUCUUGCUUUGUUCUUGAUGGAUGACUUUUUCCUUGGCUCACUUAGCCUCAAUUUCUGAAAGUAAAACAUUUCUUAAUUUCGUAUUAAGUCAAUAGUACAUAUGGGGCAAUAGCUCUGUGUUAAAAACUCUUCACCUAGGAAACAGGCAUUCUUAGGUACUAUGACCUUGAUUGUUCUAUUCUUCUCUAGCAAUUUUCUGUGAUUUACCCCACCCCUUUUGUAAAUCAUCCUCUCUUCUUCCUACUACUAUCUCUUCCUAAAUCUCUUCAGGCAAAUGAAGACCAACCCAUCAAGGACACAUUUCUAGAGAUUAUGGCUUUGUUUUGAAACCUUUUCAGUGAUAUCUCCUGAUGAUUUUAGAAGUUUU